CUUUGCUGGCGACCGGCGCACGGGUGAGUAACACGUAUCCAACCUGCCCUUUACUCGGGGAUAGCCUUUCGAAAGAAAGAUUAAUACCCGAUAGCAUAAUGAUUCCGCAUGGUUUCAUUAUUAAAGGAUUCCGGUAAAGGAUGGGGAUGCGUUCCAUUAGGUUGUUGGUGAGGUAACGGCUCACCAAGCCUUCGAUGGAUAGGGGUUCUGAGAGGAAGGUCCCCCACAUUGGAACUGAGACACGGCCCAA
This 250-nucleotide ribosomal RNA is filed under the name uncultured bacterium. RNAcentral describes it as "partial 16S ribosomal RNA". It matches the Rfam family "Bacterial small subunit ribosomal RNA", at positions 83 to 334 of the family's 1533-position model. The record is from RNAcentral.